Molecule: ribosomal RNA, 506 nt
Filed under: uncultured bacterium
Lineage: Bacteria
Description: bacterial SSU rRNA
Rfam family: Bacterial small subunit ribosomal RNA
Source: RNAcentral
AGAGUUUGAUCCUGGCUCAGGAUGAACGCUGGCGGCGUGCUUAAAACAUGCAAGUCGAACGAGCACUUCGGUGCUAGUGGCAAACGGCUGAGUAACGCGUGGGUGACCUACCUGGAAGUGGGGAAUAACUGCCCGAAAGGGUGGCUAAUACCGCAUGUGAUGGCGAGUGUAGAGCUCGUUAUGAAAGUCUUCGGACGCUUCGAGAGGGGCCCGCGUUCGAUUAGCUAGUUGGCGGGGUAACGGCCCACCAAGGCAAAGACGGGUAUGGGGCGUGAGAGCGUGCCCCCACUCACUGGGACUGAGAUACUGCCCAGACACCUACGGGUGGCUGCAGUCGAGAAUCUUCGGCAAUGGGCGCAAGCCUGACCGAGCGACGCCGCGUGCGGGAUGAAGGCCUUCGGGUUGUAAACCGCUGUCGUAGGGGAGGAAGGUUCCGUGAAGAACGGAGCUUGACCGAUCCUAGGAGGAAGGGCCGGCUAAUCUCGUGCCAGCAGCCGCGGUAAUAC